GUAGCGCUGGCCCAUAAAACAAGGGGUUUCCCGCAGCGCACGGUGCCCCUCCUAAGGGGAAGGUCGCACGUUCGAAUCGUGUCGGGGCUGCCA
This 93-nucleotide transfer RNA is filed under the name Pseudoxanthomonas broegbernensis. RNAcentral describes it as "tRNA-Arg". Lineage: Bacteria; Pseudomonadati; Pseudomonadota; Gammaproteobacteria; Lysobacterales; Lysobacteraceae. The record is from RNAcentral.